AAAUUUUAGAUUAUCUUGCAGGUUGGUGUAAAAUGUAGCGGGCGUCUCUUCAGGUGAGUUGAUAUUGUGUAUUUCUCUUUAUUUUUCAACACUAAUCACUAUGGAAUAAGCUCUGUUCACAACGGGUAAGGGUUCCAUGAUCAAUAUUUGGUUUCUGACAUGGUCGUAUGAGUCAUUAAGAUCCAUUAUAAAUUGGAUCAGGUUGUCGAUAUUGUCUAUUCCAUUGUGUUGUUUUGCAGCAUGGCAAGUGCAAGCAGGUAAGGGCUUUAGGUGAGUUAAACUCAUCCCAUAGCCAUUUGAGUUUUGUACAAUAGGCUAUGAUAGAAAGGUUAGACUGCUUGAUGGAACUUAUUUCACAUUUUAAUUGAUACAACAAAAACCCGUUACUUUCACUAUACCUUUCUUUUAUUUCAUCCCACAUGUUUUUUGUUGAUGUGGUGAACAGGAAGGCGCUAGCAAGUUCUUUGUUCAUCGAGUUUAGGAUCCAGGACACC
Molecule: long non-coding RNA, 494 nt
Filed under: Carica papaya (papaya)
Lineage: Eukaryota; Viridiplantae; Streptophyta; Magnoliopsida; Brassicales; Caricaceae
Description: long non-coding RNA (CPAP_LNC002706)
Source: RNAcentral